UACAGAGGGUGCGAGCGUUAAUCGGAAUUACUGGGCGUAAAGCGAGCGUAGGCGGCUUUGCAAGUCGAGUGUGAAAUCCCCGGGCUCAACCCGGGAACUGCGUCCGAUACUGGAAGGCUUGAAUCCGGGAGAGGGAUGUGGAAUUCCAGGUGUAGCGGUGAAAUGCGUAGAUAUCUGGAGGAACACCGGUGGCGAAGGCGACAUCCUGGACCGGUAUUGACGCUGAGGCGCGAAAGCGUGGGGAGCAAACAGG
This 253-nucleotide ribosomal RNA is filed under the name uncultured bacterium. RNAcentral describes it as "partial 16S ribosomal RNA". It matches the Rfam family "Bacterial small subunit ribosomal RNA", at positions 524 to 776 of the family's 1533-position model. The record is from RNAcentral.